AAAAAAAAAAAAAAAAAAAACACAUGAUAAAUGAAUAUUGAAAAAGAAGAGCAACAGAGAUAAGGAAACUGGAACUGUUAUAAAUGUGCACAAUCAACCUCCACCACCAUUCAGAUGGUUGGUUGGUGUACCAGAUCCCCACAUUGGUCCCGUUCUUCUUUUCCUCAAAUUUUCUCCGCCUACUAGGUUUUCUUUCUUUAGUUUUUAAUUGGAUUUCAGAGGUGCAGCUGCUAUUUUCUCUGUUCAGUGUCUCCCUUACCCACUUACUGAUUCUGCUUCUUCUGUUUAAAUCUCCCCUCUAAAUCUGCUCCUGCUCGAGGGGAAUUGGAAUUCUUUUGGUAAUUGGGCAUCAUGGAUUUGGAAUUUUUGCAAACACUUGAUGUUCAGAUUCUUGUGGGUGUAGCUGUCGCUGUUUUGGCCAUUGUUAUGGGUGCUGUCUUCCUCUUUUCCUCCAAAAAACCAAAAGACUGUUUAGAUCCUGAGAAUUUCAAGGAUUUUAAACUUGUCAAGCGCGUUCAGCUCAGCCAUAAUGUGGCGAAGUUUAAAUUUGCACUUCCUACACCUACGUCAGUCUUGGGCCUUCCAAUUGGACAACACAUAAGCUGCAGGGGCAAGGAUAAUCAAGGCGAAGAGGUUAUUAAACCAUAUACUCCGACGACUCUUGAUUCUGAUGUUGGACAUUUUGAAUUAGUUAUUAAGAUGUAUCCGCAAGGAAGGAUGUCCCAUCACUUCAGAGAGAUGCGUGUUGGUGAUUAUCUUUCCGUUAAGGGACCCAAGGGUCGUUUUAGGUAUCAACCUGGCCAGGUUAGAGCAUUUGGAAUGCUUGCUGGAGGCUCAGGCAUUACUCCAAUGUUCCAAGUUACUAGAGCAAUAUUGGAAAACCCGAAGGACAAGACAAAGGUACACCUCAUUUAUGCCAAUGUUACAUACGAGGACAUUCUUUUGAAGGAAGAAUUGGAUGGCCUUGCUGCUAGUUACCCUGAUCGCUUCAAGGUCUACUAUGUUUUGAACCAGGUUAGUUCCUUUCACAACAGCUGCUUCUUGUUUACCCUGUUUAUUUUACUUCUGUCUUCUCCUUCUUCUCUAAUAAACUUGUUUUAGGUAGGUUGUCUGAGAAAUAAAUAGUAUUCUAGUGCCUUGUCCAGGUUAGCUACAUCAAUGCAAAUUUCUCUGAUUUUAUGGUGCAAACUGGAUCUUGCCAUUCAGUUGAGCUGGUUAAAAUGUUCUUAAGUGUAACCAUUUAAAAAAAAUAUGUUGAAUGUGUACAUUGAAAAUUAUGACAAAAAUGGAAGGAAUAAUUAUUGCUGCUUAGUAAUUUAGUAACUCAUCAUCAUGAUUGGAUAAGUUUGAAAAUGCAUCGGUGGUUAGGCAAGGGCAUAUUUGGUGGGCCUUGCUUUUGUACUGCCAAUUAUCUGAUCCAUGUGUAGCAUGAUUUUGGUUAAGUUAGAUUUUACAUCUUUCUCUGAUGCAUGCAUAAUAUAUUGUAAUUGAGUUAUAGAUGUUGAAAUCAUUUUAUAACCAAUGGCCAUCUGAUUAACAAAACCCCUGUUGACCAAUAUCUUCUUGUCAGCCUCCUGAAGUAUGGGAUGGUGGUGUUGGCUUUGUAUCCAAGGAAAUGAUUGAAAAGCACUGUCCUGCACCAGCCGCCGAUAUCCAGAUUCUGCGAUGUGGGCCACCACCUAUGAACAAGGCCAUGGCUGCUCACCUUGAGGCUCUUGGCUACGCACCUGAGAUGCAGUUCCAGUUCUGAUCCUUCGCAAGUUCUUGACCCUCUCUUUUUCAUUUUUAACACUUGCAUGGCCUCAAUGAAAGACUUCACUGCUCUUUAUUUUGGUUCCUUCUCUCUGAAUUAAUCUGUCUAGCAGUAAGGCAACUAGUGUAAACUUCCAGUGCUUUUAAUUUUUGAGAAAAUUUUCCAUGAAUUUCUUUGACAUGCAAUGGUGCCUUACGUUGAAUUAUAAUCCAAAUCUAAUUAUAGAUCAGAUAAGAAAAUUAGUUGAUCGAGGAAGCCGGGGGAUUUUAAUAAUAAUAGUAAGUUAAGUCUAGGCUAUUCAAAACAUAAAAUGCGUGUUUUUUUUUUAAUGGAC
RNAcentral lists this unclassified non-coding RNA (2087 nucleotides) under Hevea brasiliensis (rubber tree). Lineage: Eukaryota; Viridiplantae; Streptophyta; Magnoliopsida; Malpighiales; Euphorbiaceae. The record is from RNAcentral.